RNAcentral lists this ribosomal RNA (1065 nucleotides) under fungal endophyte. RNAcentral's name for it is "eukaryotic LSU rRNA". The stretch from base 479 to 1065 matches the Rfam family "Eukaryotic large subunit ribosomal RNA", at positions 1 to 599 of the family's 3401-position model. Lineage: Eukaryota; Fungi. The record is from RNAcentral.
GCUCUAUAACCCUUUGUGAACAUACCUAUAACUGUUGCUUCGGCGGGUAGGGUCUCCGUGACCCUCCCGGCCUCCCGCCCCCGGGCGGGUCGGCGCCCGCCGGAGGAUAACCAAACUCUGAUUUAACGACGUUUCUUCUGAGUGGUACAAGCAAAUAAUCAAAACUUUUAACAACGGAUCUCUUGGUUCUGGCAUCGAUGAAGAACGCAGCGAAAUGCGAUAAGUAAUGUGAAUUGCAGAAUUCAGUGAAUCAUCGAAUCUUUGAACGCACAUUGCGCCCGCCAGCAUUCUGGCGGGCAUGCCUGUUCGAGCGUCAUUUCAACCCUCAAGCUCUGCUUGGUGUUGGGGCCCUACAGCUGAUGUAGGCCCUCAAAGGUAGUGGCGGACCCUCCCGGAGCCUCCUUUGCGUAGUAACUUUACGUCUCGCACUGGGAUCCGGAGGGACUCUUGCCGUAAAACCCCCCAAUUUUCCAAAGGUUGACCUCGGAUCAGGUAGGAAUACCCGCUGAACUUAAGCAUAUCAAUAAGCGGAGGAAAAGAAACCAACAGGGAUUGCCUCAGUAACGGCGAGUGAAGCGGCAACAGCUCAAAUUUGAAAUCUGGCCCUAGGCCCGAGUUGUAAUUUGCAGAGGAUGCUUUUGGUGCGGUGCCUUCCAAGUUCCCUAGAACGGGACGCCAGAGAGGGUGAGAGCCCCGUACAGUUGGACACCAAGCCUUUGCAAAGCUCCUUCGACGAGUCGAGUAGUUUGGGAAUGCUGCUCAAAAUGGGAGGUAUAUUUCUUCUAAAGCUAAAUACCGGCCAGAGACCGAUAGCGCACAAGUAGAGUGAUCGAAAGAUGAAAAGCACUUUGAAAAGAGGGUUAAACAGCACGUGAAAUUGUUAAAAGGGAAGCGCUUGUGACCAGACUUGCGUCCGGUGAAUCACCCAGCUCUCGCGGCUGGGGCACUUCGCCGGCUCAGGCCAGCAUCAGCUCGCUGUCGGGGACAAAAGCUUCAGGAACGUAGCUCUCUUCGGGGAGUGUUAUAGCCUGUUGCAUAAUACCCUUCGGCGGGCUGAGGUACGCG